Toxotes jaculatrix (banded archerfish) is the source of this 232-nucleotide long non-coding RNA. RefSeq lists it as uncharacterized. The transcript is spliced from 3 exons. The record is from RefSeq and is a predicted model, not a curated record. NCBI's taxonomy places the organism in Eukaryota, Metazoa, Chordata, Actinopteri, Toxotidae.
ACAUGUCAAAGGGUCGCUUCAUUGAUUUCAAAGGACAGCCUCCCUCUGCUGCAAAGAAGAUCCAUCAGAGACCAGACUUUCCUGUACCUGAGCCCGGCUGUGUGUCCAUAAAGAGUGACAUGUCAAAGGGUCGCCUCAUUCAUUUCAAAGGACAGCCUCCCUCUGCUGCAAAGAAAAUGGACCAGGAGAGCUCAGAGGUUCCCAGUGCUCAGGCUGCCCAGCAGCAUCAAAC